AUGAAGAACGUAGCGAAAUGCGAUACGUAAUGUGAAUUGCAAAUUCAGUGAAUCAUCGAGUCUUUGAACGCUCAUUGCGCCCCCUGGUAUUCCGGGGGGCAUGCCUGUCCGAGCGUCAUUGCUGCCCUCAAGCACGGCUUGUGUGUUGGGCCCCGUCCUCCGAUCCCGGGGGACGGGCCCGAAAGGCAGCGGCGGCACCGCGUCCGGUCCUCGAGCGUAUGGGGCUUUGUCACCCGCUCUGUAGGCCCGGCCGGCGCUUGCCGAUCAACCCAAAUUUUUAUCCAGGUUGACCUCGGAUCAGGUAGGGAUACCCGCUGAACUUAAGCAUAUCAAUAAGCGGAGGA
Molecule: unclassified non-coding RNA, 344 nt
Filed under: soil metagenome
Description: partial contains 5.8S ribosomal RNA, internal transcribed spacer 2, and large subunit ribosomal RNA
Rfam family: 5.8S ribosomal RNA (bases 1-118)
Source: RNAcentral